AUGGCUUCAUCCGGUUCCAUGAUGAGGCCACCAUGUGCUAACUAAGAAGACACGCCGAACAAGUGGGACAACGCAUCUUUGGACAAGGUGAAAGAGAAAGAUGUGAAAAUCCCACCAUGUUGGUGUGGAGAUGUUUGCAAUGUGAAGGUUUCCACCAACCGAAAGAAGUCAUGGACGGAGGGAAGGAGAUAUUUUGUAUGCCCCAACUAUGCCCAUGAUCGUGCGCUUCCAACUAACCCCUAUGAUGUACCGCCGGUAUGUCUUAAAAGUAACAUGUUAUUUUCAAAUUUGUGUGAGCACUAA
This 303-nucleotide ribosomal RNA is filed under the name Triticum aestivum (bread wheat). RNAcentral describes it as "partial small subunit ribosomal RNA". The record is from RNAcentral. Lineage: Eukaryota; Viridiplantae; Streptophyta; Magnoliopsida; Poales; Poaceae.